AGUAAGGCAUCUGCAUCAUUUGAGUC
This 26-nucleotide non-coding RNA is filed under the name Rattus norvegicus (Norway rat). Lineage: Eukaryota; Metazoa; Chordata; Mammalia; Rodentia; Muridae. The record is from RNAcentral.